This 566-nucleotide ribosomal RNA is filed under the name uncultured bacterium. RNAcentral describes it as "partial 16S ribosomal RNA". It matches the Rfam family "Bacterial small subunit ribosomal RNA", at positions 355 to 914 of the family's 1533-position model. The record is from RNAcentral.
UGGGGAAUUUUGGACAAUGGGCGAAAGCCUGAUCCAGCAAUGCCGCGUGUGUGAAGAAGGCCUUCGGGUUGUAAAGUACUUUUGUCCGGAAAGAAAUCCUCUGGGUUAAUACCUCGGGGGGAUGACGGUACCGGAAGAAUAAGCACCGGCUAACUACGUGCCAGCAGCCGCGGUAAUACGUAGGGUGCAAGCGUUAAUCGGAAUUACUGGGCGUAAAGCGUGCGCAGGCGGUUUUGUAAGACGGAUGUGAAAUCCCCGGGCUUAACCUGGGAACUGCAUUCGUGACUGCAAGGCUAGAGUAUGGCAGAGGGGGGUAGAAUUCCACGUGUAGCAGUGAAAUGCGUAGAGAUGUGGAGGAAUACCGAUGGCGAAGGCAGCCCCCUGGGCCAAUACUGACGCUCAUGCACGAAAGCGUGGGGAGCAAACAGGAUUAGAUACCCUGGUAGUCCACGCCCUAAACGAUGUCAACUAGUUGUUGGGGAUUCAUUUCCUUAGUAACGUAGCUAACGCGUGAAGUUGACCGCCUGGGGAGUACGGUCGCAAGAUUAAAACUUAAAUGAAUUGAC